GUCAGCAGCUAUAUGAACUGCAGUUCAGACUAGGUAACCAAUCUCUCUGAAGCUGAGCGGGUUUGAGCCUGGCCAAUACUUGGAGGGAAACCAACUAGGAAAGCGGAGUUGCUCUUG
This 117-nucleotide ribosomal RNA is filed under the name Paramormyrops kingsleyae. Lineage: Eukaryota; Metazoa; Chordata; Actinopteri; Osteoglossiformes; Mormyridae. The record is from RNAcentral.